AGGGGAGUGAAAAAGAACCUGAAACCGUGUACGUACAAGCAGUGGGAGCCUCUUUUAUGGGGUGACUGCGUACCUUUUGUAUAAUGGGUCAGCGACUUAUAUUCUGUAGCAAGGUUAACCGAAUAGGGGAGCCGAAGGGAAACCGAGUCUUAACUGGGCGUUAAGUUGCAGGGUAUAGACCCGAAACCCGGUGAUCUAGCCAUGGGCAGGUUGAAGGUUGGGUAACACUAACUGGAGGACCGAACCGACUAAUGUUGAAAAAUUAGCGGAUGACUUGUGGCUGGGGGUGAAAGGCCAAUCAAACCGGGAGAUAGCUGGUUCUCCCCGAAAGCUAUUUAGGUAGCGCCUCGUGAAUUCAUCUCCGGGGGUAGAGCACUGUUUCGGCAAGGGGGUCAUCCCGACUUACCAACCCGAUGCAAACUGCGAAUACCGGAGAAUGUUAUCACGGGAGACACACGGCGGGUGCUAACGUCCGUCGUGAAGAGGGAAACAACCCAGACCGCCAGCUAAGGUCCCAAAGUCAUGGUUAAGUGGGAAACGAUGUGGGAAGGCCCAGACAGCCAGGAUGUUGGCUUAGAAGCAGCCAUCAUUUAAAGAAAGCGUAAUAGCUCACUGGUCGAGUCGGCCUGCGCGGAAGAUGUAACGGGGCUAAACCAUGCACCGAAGCUGCGGCAGCGACACUGUGUGUUGUUGGGUAGGGGAGCGUUCUGUAAGCCUGUGAAGGUGUGCUGUGAGGCAUGCUGGAGGUAUCAGAAGUGCGAAUGCUGACAUAAGUAACGAUAAAGCGGGUGAAAAGCCCGCUCGCCGGAAGACCAAGGGUUCCUGUCCAACGUUAAUCGGGGCAGGGUGAGUCGACCCCUAAGGCGAGGCCGAAAGGCGUAGUCGAUGGGAAACAGGUUAAUAUUCCUGUACUUGGUGUUACUGCGAAGGGGGGACGGAGAAGGCUAUGUUGGCCGGGCGACGGUUGUCCCGGUUUAAGCGUGUAGGCUGGUUUUCCAGGCAAAUCCGGAAAAUCAAGGCUGAGGCGUGAUGACGAGGCACUACGGUGCUGAAGCAACAAAUGCCCUGCUUCCAGGAAAAGCCUCUAAGCAUCAGGUAACAUCAAAUCGUACCCCAAACCGACACAGGUGGUCAGGUAGAGAAUACCAAGGCGCUUGAGAGAACUCGGGUGAAGGAACUAGGCAAAAUGGUGCCGUAACUUCGGGAGAAGGCACGCUGAUAUGUAGGUGAAGUCCCUCGCGGAUGGAGCUGAAAUCAGUCGAAGAUACCAGCUGGCUGCAACUGUUUAUUAAAAACACAGCACUGUGCAAACACGAAAGUGGACGUAUACGGUGUGACGCCUGCCCGGUGCCGGAAGGUUAAUUGAUGGGGUCAGCGCAAGCGAAGCUCUUGAUCGAAGCCCCGGUAAACGGCGGCCGUAACUAUAACGGUCCUAAGGUAGCGAAAUUCCUUGUCGGGUAAGUUCCGACCUGCACGAAUGGCGUAAUGAUGGCCAGGCUGUCUCCACCCGAGACUCAGUGAAAUUGAACUCGCUGUGAAGAUGCAGUGUACCCGCGGCAAGACGGAAAGACCCCGUGAACCUUUACUAUAGCUUGACACUGAACAUUGAGCCUUGAUGUGUAGGAUAGGUGGGAGGCUUUGAAGUGUGGACGCCAGUCUGCAUGGAGCCGACCUUGAAAUACCACCCUUUAAUGUUUGAUGUUCUAACGUGGACCCGUGAUCCGGGUUGCGGACAGUGUCUGGUGGGUAGUUUGACUGGGGCGGUCUCCUCCUAAAGAGUAACGGAGGAGCACGAAGGUUGGCUAAUCCUGGUCGGACAUCAGGAGGUUAGUGCAAUGGCAUAAGCCAGCUUGACUGCGAGCGUGACGGCGCGAGCAGGUGCGAAAGCAGGUCAUAGUGAUCCGGUGGUUCUGAAUGGAAGGGCCAUCGCUCAACGGAUAAAAGGUACUCCGGGGAUAACAGGCUGAUACCGCCCAAGAGUUCAUAUCGACGGCGGUGUUUGGCACCUCGAUGUCGGCUCAUCACAUCCUGGGGCUGAAGUAGGUCCCAAGGGUAUGGCUGUUCGCCAUUUAAAGUGGUACGCGAGCUGGGUUUAGAACGUCGUGAGACAGUUCGGUCCCUAUCUGCCGUGGGCGCUGGAGAACUGAGGGGGGCUGCUCCUAGUACGAGAGGACCGGAGUGGACGCAUCACUGGUGUUCGGGUUGUCAUGCCAAUGGCACUGCCCGGUAGCUAAAUGCGGAAGAGAUAAGUGCUGAA
Molecule: ribosomal RNA, 2257 nt
Filed under: Escherichia coli
Lineage: Bacteria; Pseudomonadati; Pseudomonadota; Gammaproteobacteria; Enterobacterales; Enterobacteriaceae
Description: partial 23S ribosomal RNA
Rfam family: Bacterial large subunit ribosomal RNA
Source: RNAcentral